Molecule: ribosomal RNA, 537 nt
Filed under: uncultured archaeon
Lineage: Archaea
Description: bacterial SSU rRNA
Rfam family: Archaeal small subunit ribosomal RNA
Source: RNAcentral
CAGCCGCCGCGGUAACACCGGCAGCUCUAGUGGUAACAAUUUUAUGGGCCUAAAGCGUCCGUAGCCGGUUUAAUAAGUCUCUGGUGAAAUCCUGCAGCUUAACUGUGGGAAUUGCUGGAGAUACUAUUAGACUUGAGACCGGGAGAGGUUAGAGGUACUCCCAGGGUAGAGGUGAAAUUCUGUAAUCCUGGGAGGACCGCCUGUUGCGAAGGCGUCUAACUGGAACGGUUCUGACGGUGAGGGACGAAAGUUAGGGGCGCGAACCGGAUUAGAUACCCGGGUAGUCCUAACUGUAAACGAUGCGGACUUGGUGUUGGGGUGGCUUUGAGCUGCUUCAGUGCCGAAGGGAAGCUGUUAAGUCCGCCGCCUGGGAAGUACGGUCGCAAGACUGAAACUUAAGGAAUUGGCGGGGGAGCACCACAACGCGUGGAGCCUGCCGGUUUAAUUGGAUUCAACGCCGGACAUCUCACCAGAGGCGACAGCUGUAUGAUAGCCAGGUUGAUGACUUUGCUUGACUAGCUGAGUAGUGGUGCAUGG